AGGUUUCGGCCAAGGGAAGGGGAGGCUUAGUGGCGGACUGGUGAGUAACGCGUGAGGAACCUGCCUUCCAGAGGGGGACAACAGUUGGAAACGACUGCUAAUACCGCAUGAUAUAUUCGAGGGGCAUCCCUUGGAUAUCAAAGAUUCAUCGCUGGAAGAUGGCCUCGCGUCUGAUUAGCUAGUUGGUGAGGUAACGGCCCACCAAGGCGACGAUCAGUAGCCGGACUGAGAGGUCGGCCGGCCACAUUGGGACUGAGAUACGGCCCAGACUCC
This 273-nucleotide ribosomal RNA is filed under the name uncultured Oscillospiraceae bacterium. Its description in RNAcentral is "partial 16S ribosomal RNA". It matches the Rfam family "Bacterial small subunit ribosomal RNA", at positions 75 to 339 of the family's 1533-position model. The record is from RNAcentral. Lineage: Bacteria; Bacillati; Bacillota; Clostridia; Eubacteriales; Oscillospiraceae.